This 91-nucleotide transfer RNA is filed under the name Trichosporon asahii var. asahii CBS 2479. RNAcentral describes it as "tRNA-Lys". It matches the Rfam family "tRNA". Rfam says of the family: Transfer RNA (tRNA) molecules are approximately 80 nucleotides in length. RNAcentral also lists the same sequence under 1 other name. The record is from RNAcentral. Lineage: Eukaryota; Fungi; Basidiomycota; Tremellomycetes; Trichosporonales; Trichosporonaceae.
GCCUCGUUAUAUCAGUCGGUAGAUAGUGUGACUCUUACGCAAUACAAGCCGAUUGAUCACACAGUCAUGGGUUCGAGCCCCAUACGAGGCU